RNAcentral lists this ribosomal RNA (924 nucleotides) under Latilactobacillus sakei. Its description in RNAcentral is "bacterial SSU rRNA". It matches the Rfam family "Bacterial small subunit ribosomal RNA", at positions 53 to 935 of the family's 1533-position model. The record is from RNAcentral. Lineage: Bacteria; Bacillati; Bacillota; Bacilli; Lactobacillales; Lactobacillaceae.
ACAUGCAAGUCGAACGCACUCUCGUUUAGAUUGAAGGAGCUUGCUCCUGAUUGAUAAACAUUUGAGUGAGUGGCGGACGGGUGAGUAACACGUGGGUAACCUGCCCUAAAGUGGGGGAUAACAUUUGGAAACAGAUGCUAAUACCGCAUAAAACCUAACACCGCAUGGUGUAGGGUUGAAAGAUGGUUUCGGCUAUCACUUUAGGAUGGACCCGCGGUGCAUUAGUUAGUUGGUGAGGUAAAGGCUCACCAAGACCGUGAUGCAUAGCCGACCUGAGAGGGUAAUCGGCCACACUGGGACUGAGACACGGCCCAGACUCCUACGGGAGGCAGCAGUAGGGAAUCUUCCACAAUGGACGAAAGUCUGAUGGAGCAACGCCGCGUGAGUGAAGAAGGUUUUCGGAUCGUAAAACUCUGUUGUUGGAGAAGAAUGUAUCUGAUAGUAACUGAUCAGGUAGUGACGGUAUCCAACCAGAAAGCCACGGCUAACUACGUGCCAGCAGCCGCGGUAAUACGUAGGUGGCAAGCGUUGUCCGGAUUUAUUGGGCGUAAAGCGAGCGCAGGCGGUUUCUUAAGUCUGAUGUGAAAGCCUUCGGCUCAACCGAAGAAGUGCAUCGGAAACUGGGAAACUUGAGUGCAGAAGAGGACAGUGGAACUCCAUGUGUAGCGGUGAAAUGCGUAGAUAUAUGGAAGAACACCAGUGGCGAAGGCGGCUGUCUGGUCUGUAACUGACGCUGAGGCUCGAAAGCAUGGGUAGCAAACAGGAUUAGAUACCCUGGUAGUCCAUGCCGUAAACGAUGAGUGCUAGGUGUUGGAGGGUUUCCGCCCUUCAGUGCCGCAGCUAACGCAUUAAGCACUCCGCCUGGGGAGUACGACCGCAAGGUUGAAACUCAAAGGAAUUGACGGGGGCCCGCACAAGCGGUGG